RNAcentral lists this ribosomal RNA (584 nucleotides) under uncultured bacterium. RNAcentral describes it as "partial 16S ribosomal RNA". It matches the Rfam family "Bacterial small subunit ribosomal RNA", at positions 355 to 935 of the family's 1533-position model. The record is from RNAcentral.
UGGGGAAUUUUGGACAAUGGGCGAAAGCCUGAUCCAGCAAUGCCGCGUGUGUGAAGAAGGCCUUCGGGUUGUAAAGCACUUUUGUCCGGAAAGAAAUCCUUGGCUCUAAUACAGUCGGGGGAUGACGGUACCGGAAGAAUAAGCACCGGCUAACUACGUGCCAGCAGCCGCGGUAAUACGUAGGGUGCAAGCGUUAAUCGGAAUUACUGGGCGUAAAGCGUGCGCAGGCGGUUUGCUAAGACCGAUGUGAAAUCCCCGGGCUCAACCUGGGAACUGCAUUGGUGACUGGCAGGCUAGAGUAUGGCAGAGGGGGGUAGAAUUCCACGUGUAGCAGUGAAAUGCGUAGAGAUGUGGAGGAAUACCGAUGGCGAAGGCAGCCCCCUGGGCCAAUACUGACGCUCAUGCACGAAAGCGUGGGGGAGCAAACAGGAUUAGAUACCCCUGGUAGUCCACGCCCCUAAACGAUGUCAACUAGUUGUUGGGGAUUCAUUUCCUUAGUAACGUAGCUAACGCGUGAAGUUGACCGCCUGGGGAGUACGGUCGCAAGAUUAAAACUUAAUGAAUUGACGGGGUCAUAGCUGUUU